RNAcentral lists this long non-coding RNA (455 nucleotides) under Lupinus angustifolius (narrow-leaved blue lupine). RNAcentral describes it as "long non-coding RNA (LANG_LNC003373)". The record is from RNAcentral. Lineage: Eukaryota; Viridiplantae; Streptophyta; Magnoliopsida; Fabales; Fabaceae.
GUUCCUAUCCGGCGAACCAAAGGUCAUGUUUAGACGCCGAGGUGGCCCCACUUGUUGGGACCACCGAAGUUGACCCAGGGGACAGCAUGCUUUCCGUACUCCACCAACCUACCUGCCAGCGCGACAGACGGGUUGCAGAGCAGGAGCCUAACCACCCACAGGCUAGAAGACAAGAAGGGCACAGUGUACGAUCCUGCAGACCGCCUGACACGGGAAAAGCAGCUCCCGACAACACCUUUGGUCGGCCACGCGUCGCACCACCAGCCAAGAACCCAAGGUCAACUCUCACUCCUAUAAAUAGGAGUACCCACCAACAGGAAGUAUCCUAACCUCAACUCCUUGACUCUCUAAUAUUAUUCUUCUUGUCACUCACUCUCUCUACUUCAUAUACUGACUUGAUCGUCGGAGAGCCUUUUCAGGUACCUCCACCGGCGGGCCCAACUCUCUUGCUACCU